RNAcentral lists this ribosomal RNA (429 nucleotides) under Chloroflexota bacterium. Its description in RNAcentral is "Chloroflexi bacterium partial 16S ribosomal RNA". It matches the Rfam family "Bacterial small subunit ribosomal RNA", at positions 355 to 776 of the family's 1533-position model. Lineage: Bacteria; Bacillati; Chloroflexota. The record is from RNAcentral.
UGGGGAAUAUUGCACAAUGGGCGCAAGCCUGAUGCAGCCAUGCCGCGUGUAUGAAGAAGGCCUUCGGGUUGUAAAGUACUUUCAGCGGGGAGGAAGGGAGUAAAGUUAAUACCUUUGCUCAUUGACGUUACCCGCAGAAGAAGCACCGGCUAACUCCGUGCCAGCAGCCGCGGUAAUACGGAGGGUGCAAGCGUUAAUCGGAAUUCCUGGGCGUAAAGCGCACGCAGGCGGUUUGUUAAGUCAGAUGUGAAAUCCCCGGGCUCAACCUGGGAACUGCAUCCGAUACUGGCAAGCUUGAGUCUCGUAGAGGGGGGUAAAAUUCCAGGUGUAGCGGUGAAAUGCGUAGAGAUCUGGAGGAAUACCGGUGGCUAAGGCGGCCCCCUGGACGAAGACUGACGCUCAGGUGCGAAAGCGUGGGGAGCAAACAGG